GGCGUGGCCAAGCGGUAAGGCAGCGGGUUUUGGUCCCGUUACUCGGAGGUUCGAAUCCUUCCGCCCCAAA
Molecule: transfer RNA, 70 nt
Filed under: Strelitzia caudata
Lineage: Eukaryota; Viridiplantae; Streptophyta; Magnoliopsida; Zingiberales; Strelitziaceae
Description: tRNA-Cys
Rfam family: tRNA
About the family: Transfer RNA (tRNA) molecules are approximately 80 nucleotides in length.
Source: RNAcentral